UACGUAGGGUGCGAGCGUUUGUCCGGAAUUAUUGGGCGUAAAGAGCUUGUAGGCGGUUUGUCGCGUCUGCUGUGAAAAUCCGGGCUCAACCCGGACUUGCAGUGGGUACGGGCAGACUAGAGUGUGGUAGGGGAGACUGGAAUUCCUGGUGUAGCGGUGAAAUGCGCAGAUAUCAGGAGGAACACCGAUGGCGAAGGCAGGUCUCUGGGCCACUACUGACGCUGAGAAGCGAAGCAUGGGGAGCGAACAGG
This 251-nucleotide ribosomal RNA is filed under the name uncultured bacterium. Its description in RNAcentral is "partial 16S ribosomal RNA". It matches the Rfam family "Bacterial small subunit ribosomal RNA", at positions 524 to 776 of the family's 1533-position model. The record is from RNAcentral.